GACGAACGCUGGCGGCGUGCUUAACACAUGCAAGUCGAACGGUGAAGCGCCUUCCUUUUUGGUGGGUGUGGAUGAGUGGCGAACGGGUGAGUAACACGUGCGUAACCUGCCCCCUUCUUCUGGAUAACCGCAUGAAAGUGUGGCUAAUACGGGAUAUUCUGGGUCUGUCGCAUGAUGGGUCUGGGAAAGAUAUUGUUUCGGUGGGGGAUGGGCUCGCGGUCUUUCAGCUUGUUGGUGGGGUGAUGGCCUACCAAGGCGGUGACGGGUAGCCGGCCUGAGAGGGUGGACGGUCACACUGGGACUGAGGCACGGCCGAGACUGCUACGGGAGGCAGCAGUGGAGAAUAGUGCACAAUGGGCGCAAGUCUGAUGCAGCGACGCCGCGUGAGGGAUGGAGGCCUGCGGGUUGUGAACCUCUUUCGCCAGUGAAGCAGGCCUGCCUCGUUUGUGGGUGGGUUGACGGUAGCUGGAUAAGAAGCGCCGGCUAACUACGUG
RNAcentral lists this ribosomal RNA (494 nucleotides) under uncultured bacterium. RNAcentral's name for it is "partial 16S ribosomal RNA". It matches the Rfam family "Bacterial small subunit ribosomal RNA", at positions 28 to 507 of the family's 1533-position model. The record is from RNAcentral.